This 830-nucleotide ribosomal RNA is filed under the name Xenorhabdus poinarii. Its description in RNAcentral is "bacterial SSU rRNA". It matches the Rfam family "Bacterial small subunit ribosomal RNA", at positions 48 to 870 of the family's 1533-position model. The record is from RNAcentral. Lineage: Bacteria; Pseudomonadati; Pseudomonadota; Gammaproteobacteria; Enterobacterales; Morganellaceae.
ACUACACAUGCAGUCGAGCGGUAGCACAGAGAGCUUGCUCUCGGGUGACGAGCGGCGGACGGGUGAGUAAUGUCUGGGAAACUGCCUGAUGGAGGGGGAUAACUACUGGAAACGGUAGCUAAUACCGCAUAACGUCGCAAGACCAAAGUGGGGGACCUUCGGGCCUCAUGCCAUCAGAUGUGCCCAGAUGGGAUUAGCUGGUAGGUGGGGUAACGGCUCACCUAGGCGACGAUCCCUAGCUGGUCUGAGAGGAUGACCAGCCACACUGGAACUGAGACACGGUCCAGACUCCUACGGGAGGCAGCAGUGGGGAAUAUUGCACAAUGGGCGCAAGCCUGAUGCAGCCAUGCCGCGUGUGUGAAGAAGGCCUUCGGGUUGUAAAGCACUUUCAGCGGGGAGGAAGGCGGUGAGGUUAAUAACCUCAUCGAUUGACGUUACCCGCAGAAGAAGCACCGGCUAACUCCGUGCCAGCAGCCGCGGUAAUACGGAGGGUGCAAGCGUUAAUCGGAAUUACUGGGCGUAAAGCGCACGCAGGCGGUCUGUCAAGUCGGAUGUGAAAUCCCCGGGCUCAACCUGGGAACUGCAUUCGAAACUGGCAGGCUAGAGUCUUGUAGAGGGGGGUAGAAUUCCAGGUGUAGCGGUGAAAUGCGUAUAGAUCUGGAGGAAUACCGGUGGCGAAGGCGGCCCCCUGGACAAAGACUGACGCUCUGGUGCGAAAGCGUGGGGAGCAAACACGAUUAGAUACCCUGGGAGUCUACGCUGUAAACUAUGUCGACUUGGUGGUUGUGCCCUUGCUGCGUGACUUCCGGAGCUAACGCGUUAAAUCUACC